AGUUCGGAUUGUAGGCUGAAACUCGCCUACAUGAAGCUGGAGUUACUAGUAAUCGCAGAUCAGAAUGCUGCGGUGAAUGCGUUCCCGGGUCUUGUACACACCGCCCGUCACACCACGGGAGUUGGAGACGCCCGAAGCCGAUUAUCUAACCUGUUGGAAGAAGUCGUCGAAGGUGGAAUCAAUAACUGGGGUGAAGUCGUAACAAGGUAGCCGUAUCGGAAGGUGCGGCUGGAUCACCUCCUUUCUAAGGAA
This 252-nucleotide ribosomal RNA is filed under the name Clostridioides difficile. RNAcentral's name for it is "partial 16S ribosomal RNA". It matches the Rfam family "Bacterial small subunit ribosomal RNA", at positions 1290 to 1533 of the family's 1533-position model. Lineage: Bacteria; Bacillati; Bacillota; Clostridia; Peptostreptococcales; Peptostreptococcaceae. The record is from RNAcentral.